GAUGAACGCUGGCGGCGUGCUUAACACAUGCAAGUCGAACGAUGAAGCCCAGCUUGCUGGGUGGAUUAGUGGCGAACGGGUGAGUAACACGUGAGUAACCUGCCCUUGACUCUGGGAUAAGCCUGGGAAACUGGGUCUAAUACUGGAUAUGACUUCUCAUCGCAUGGUGGGGGGUGGAAAGAUUUAUUGGUCUUGGAUGGACUCGCGGCCUAUCAGCUUGUUGGUGAGGUAAUGGCUCACCAAGGCGACGACGGGUAGCCGGCCUGAGAGGGUGACCGGCCAAAUGGGGACUGGGACACGGCCCAGACUCCUACGGGGGGCAGCAGGGGGGAAUAUUGCACAAGGGGCGCAGGCCUGAUGCCGCGACGCCGGGGGGGGGAUGAGGGCCUUCGGGUUGAAAACCUCUUUCAGUGGGGAAGAAGCGGGGGUGACGGUACCUGCAGAAGAAGCCCCGGCUAACUACGU
This 465-nucleotide ribosomal RNA is filed under the name uncultured bacterium. RNAcentral describes it as "partial 16S ribosomal RNA". It matches the Rfam family "Bacterial small subunit ribosomal RNA", at positions 28 to 506 of the family's 1533-position model. The record is from RNAcentral.